CAUUUCCUACGAUGCUGUAUUAAUAGCUAAAAACUAAACAAACUAAAGAAAAACUAAUCAGUCAACUCUGCAGUUUCUCUAAUCUCCGUGGAAUGUCCUCUCUCGCUGUUGUGGUUCUCAGCCUGUGAACUCUGACCUCUGGUUUUCAGCCCCUGUUCUCUCUGAGAACAUCGAACAAACGAUCACAUUCUGCUCUAUCUGCGUCUUCUUAAACUUUGGAUCAUCUCAACUUGAAAACCGUCAUGACAGUCAUGUGACUUCUGGCUCCAAAACGCUGAUAUCAGUGACUCCCUCAUCUCCGUACUGCAGAUCGACACAAAGCAGUGCAGGAUUUGAAGUGGAAGGAAAGCGAUGUGCGGAUUUUGUGAAAUUUCACACGUAAAAAUCUGUAAAGUGUGGCAUGCUUUUUGUAGCAAGGUUACUUUAGUUUUUGUCAACUGAUAAAAAUAAAAAUUGUAAUUAAUGAGGGAAAAACUAUAACAGGAACUAUAUUGUGCGUUUAUAAAAUUAACUAAAACUUACUAAAAUUCUGCUUUCAUGUUUAUAAAUCUAUUUAUUAGCAUUUCGAAUUGAAGUGAAAUUGAUUUUUGUCCACACACAACCAGUUCACCACUUCAUACCUGCCUGUGCUUCUGUCUGGUAGUGAAUAUUAAACAGUGGAUAGCAUCUUCAGAAAA
This is a long non-coding RNA of Poecilia latipinna (sailfin molly), 677 nucleotides long. RefSeq lists it as uncharacterized. The record is from RefSeq and is a predicted model, not a curated record. Lineage: Eukaryota; Metazoa; Chordata; Actinopteri; Cyprinodontiformes; Poeciliidae. The transcript is spliced from 2 exons.